GUCGAUCGCUCUCUUCGGAGAGAGAGGCGCACGGGUGAGUAACGCGUGGGUACCUACCUUGAGGUACGGAAUAACCACUGGAAACGGUGGCUAAUUUGGCGUUGUGCCGAUGCGGUAAAGAUUUAUCGCUAAGAGAUGGGCCCGCGUCCGAUUAGGUAGUUGGUGAGGUAAGAGCUCACCAAGCCUACGAUUGGUAGCUGGUCUGAGAGGAUGAUCAGCCACACUGGGACUGAGACACGGCCCAGACUCCUACGGGAGGCAGCAGUGGGGAAUAUUGGACAAUGGAGGCAACUCUGAUCCAGCCAUGUCGCGUGAGGGAAGAAGGCCUUAGGGUUGUAAACCUCUUUCAGGUGUGAGGAUGAUGACAGUAACACCAGAAGAAGCCCCGGCUAACUUCGUGCCAGCAGCCGCGGUAAUACGAAGGGGGCGAGCGUUAUUCGGAAUUACUGGGCGUAAAGAGCGUGUAGGCGGUCUAAUUAGUCAGCUGUGAAAUCCCGGGGCUCAACCCCGGAACUGCAGUUGAUACUGUCAGGCUUGAGCCGGAAGAGGUGAAUGGAACUCCUAGUGUAGAGGUGAAAUUCGUAGAUAUUAGUGAAGAACACCAGUGGCGGGCGAUUCACACUGGUCCAGUACUGACGCUGAGGUGCGAAAGCGUGGGGAGCAAACAGAAUUAGAUAACCUGGUAGUCCACGCCGUAAACGAUGAAUGCUAGCUGUUGGGCAGUAUACUGUUCAGUGGCGCAGCUAACGCAUUAAGCAUUCCGCCUGGGGAGUACGGUCGCAAGACUAAAACUCAAAGAAAUUGACGGGGGCCCGCACAAGCGGUGGAGCAUGUGGUUUAAUUCGAAGCAACGCGCAGAACCUUACCAGCUCUUGACAUCCCGAUCGCGGUUACCGGAGACGGUUUCCUUCAGCUAGGCUGGAUCGGUGACAGGUGCUGCAUGGCUGUCGUCAGCUCGUGUUGUGAGAUGUUGGGUUAAGUCCCGCAACGAGCGCAACCCUCGCCUUUAGUUGCCAGCAUUUAGUUGGGCACUCUAGAGGGACUGCCGGUGAUAAGCCGGAGGAAGGUGGGGAUUACGUCCAGUCCUCAUGGCCCUUACGGGCUGGGCUACACACGUGCUACAAUGGCGGCGACAGAGGGCAGCGAGACCGCGAGGUCGAGCUAAUCUCCAAAAACUGUCUCAGUUCGGAUUGUUCUCUGCAACUCGAGAGCAUGAAGUUGGAAUCGCUAGUAAUCGUGGAUCAGCAUGCCACGGUGAAUACGUUCCCGGGCCUUGUACACACCGCCCGUCACACCAUGGGAGUUGGUUUUACCCGAAGGCAGUGCGCUAACCGUCAAGGG
RNAcentral lists this ribosomal RNA (1341 nucleotides) under uncultured prokaryote. Its description in RNAcentral is "partial 16S ribosomal RNA". It matches the Rfam family "Bacterial small subunit ribosomal RNA". The record is from RNAcentral.